GUCUUUUUGAGUUAUUUUUAAAGUCUGACCUGCCCACUGAAUUUUUGAAUGGCCGCAGUAUUCUAACUGUGCAAAGGUAGCAUAAUCAUUAGUCUUUUAAUUGAAGGCUGGUAUGAACGGUUGGACGAGGUAUUAACUGUUUCAUAUAUAUUUACAUUAGAAUUUUAUAUUUUAGUUAAAAAGCUAAAAUAAUAUUAAAAGACGAGAAGACCCUAUAAAUCUUUAUAUUUUAUAUAUUUUAAAUGGUUUAGGUUUAUUUUAUUUUUAUUAUAUAAAAUAUUUUGUUGGGGUGAUGUUAAAAUUUAAUUAACUUUUAAUUAUUACGAGUCAUUAAUUUAUGAUUUAUUGAUCCAUUAAUAGUGAUUAUAAGAUUAAGUUACUUUAGGGAUAACAGCGUAAUUUUUUUGGAGAGUUCAUAUCGAUAAAAAAGUUUGCGACCUCGAUGUUGGAUUAAGAUAUAAUUUUAGGUGUAGUCGUUUAAAUAUUAAGUCUGUUCGACUUUUAAAUUCUU
This 511-nucleotide ribosomal RNA is filed under the name Dacus binotatus. RNAcentral describes it as "partial 16S ribosomal RNA". The stretch from base 387 to 511 matches the Rfam family "Bacterial large subunit ribosomal RNA", at positions 2473 to 2597 of the family's 2925-position model. Lineage: Eukaryota; Metazoa; Arthropoda; Insecta; Diptera; Tephritidae. The record is from RNAcentral.